UUUCCAAGGCGGCAAGGCCAAGCCUGUCUGACUUCCAACUCCUCCGAUCAAUGGCCGUCUCCGCCGCCAACUCCGCCGCCGCCUUAUCGGCGUUUCCCACGCCCUACGGAGAGGUGAAGAGGAUCUCCGUAUCAACUGGGUGGAGAUGCGUGAGGUUCGGCGGUGGGAUGAGGAGAUCCAGUGCGGCGGUGGCAUCGGCUGCUAUGGAAAAGGGCAAAGGGGUGAACAACUCGAACUAUGUAGUUCCCCUCGACAAGGCUAGUUCCGGAAUCACCCGUCCCCUCGCCGAGAUCCUCCGUGACCUCAACAAGCGCGUACCGGACAACAUCAUCAAUAACAACACAAUACCUUGGUAUCAUGUGAACAGAAUGCUGAGCUUCUACGCCCCAGGCUGGUGCGGAGAAGUGCGAGAUAUUAUAUACUCGGAGAAUGGCACUGUUACAGUAAUCUAUCGUGUUACU
This 461-nucleotide unclassified non-coding RNA is filed under the name Hevea brasiliensis (rubber tree). The record is from RNAcentral. Lineage: Eukaryota; Viridiplantae; Streptophyta; Magnoliopsida; Malpighiales; Euphorbiaceae.